RNAcentral lists this long non-coding RNA (1496 nucleotides) under Homo sapiens (human). Its description in RNAcentral is "non-protein coding lnc-STARD13-7:1". The record is from RNAcentral. Lineage: Eukaryota; Metazoa; Chordata; Mammalia; Primates; Hominidae.
AUUCAUCUCGCCUCUUGCCUGUGAUGCUACAUGCUCCCCCUAUUUCUCGGAAUGCUUACCAUAGGCCCCACAAUGCUGGAUGCCGUACAGAUCAAGCCACCCCUGUUCUCUGCGAUGGGACACUCUAAGAAGGAGGUGUCACCCACAUUGUCAUCCCUGGUUUUCAAGUUAACUGCCAUGACGGACUUCAUGAUGAAUUUGUGGAUUUUCUCACAAGCCCUCACACCUCUGUCCUUUGAGCAUUUUGUCAACAGUGGACAACUGCUGUGAUUCUUAACACAUUUAAAAAAAAAAAUGUGAUCGCCUGUAGUCAAGUUUCCCUGCUUUGGAAGGGAAGGGGAUCCAUUUUUCAACUCAGAAUUAGAGGAUGAACCUGUUAACAGGGAGAGGCUGAGAAGAGAAAAAAUGGGGAGUUAAAUUCAGCUCUAAACGCUAUGGAGAAUCAAUAAAUAUCGACAGGCAAGGGGGCAGAAGGAAGGAGAGAGGUUUUGCCAACCUCAACUGAUAUCUGUUAAUAAUACCAAACAGCAAUCUGUCAUCAGCCUGGCAACACUGGAUUUUCCCCAAGGAAAAUCCAGGGUCCCCUCCCAGCAGUUCUUGGAGAAAGAGCUUAGAGUUCUGAGUUCCUGGGAGAGGAUGGACUGUAGGCGGGAUCAGAGUACUGAGAUCCUGACAAUUAAACCUGCUUACAUUUUCCCUGCGUGCAGACAUGGUGUUUGGAAACAGCAACCUCCAGUCAUCUUGCUUAGCUCUUUGGGGUUCUGGUCAUACAUACAUCUUUCUAAACUUCAAAAGUCUAUGCAAGCACACUGACCUGGCAGGUUAUUUGAAUUCUUGUUCUGGUUUACAAGUCUUUCUAAGACAUUUACACCAGAGCUAGAAGAAAGAGACCGGAUUUUGGAAAUUGCUCACAGGUUCGAGAGAGGAUUACCGGAGCACAAGAGCCGGGCGGAGUUCUACACUCACAACUUCACAAAGAAAGUGUAAUUGCUGCAGAAGUCUUUGUGCAACUGAGGAAGCCCAUCUCUAAGAACAAUGAUAAGAAACCCACCCUGAACUUUUUCAACAGGUAAGCUCAUUUAAAGGUGAUAACCAACAGCAACAGGAAAACAGGAAUGUCCUCAAGAAAUAGUCUAAAUUUUAAUGACAACAUUGUGAUUUAAAUGAAGAUAAACCUAAAAAGGCAGAGAGAUUUCAGAUAUCAAAAGAUUGAUUCCAUGACUCAAAAGCAUAAUGUGUAAUCUGGAGUCAGAGGCAGGUGAUAUUGACUGAAGCAUACGUCUCAAUUAUUUCUUGAGUUAGCUGGUUCUCCUCCUCUGCUGCUGUACUCUUUCUGUGCCAAAUGAGUAGCUUUUCUUAUUUCAUCACCGCAUUUUGACUCUAAUCUGAGAACAUAAUCCUUAUUUCAGUUCUAAUAAAAUUAUAUUUUUAUUUCCAUUCAUAACAAAGCAUCGCACAACAGUGUCAUAAUUACUAUGAAUUUCUUGCUUACUUUA